This 502-nucleotide ribosomal RNA is filed under the name uncultured bacterium. Its description in RNAcentral is "partial 16S ribosomal RNA". It matches the Rfam family "Bacterial small subunit ribosomal RNA", at positions 28 to 507 of the family's 1533-position model. The record is from RNAcentral.
GACGAACGCUGGCGGCGUGCUUAACACAUGCAAGUCGAACGGUGAAGGGGUCUGCUUUUGUGGGCCCUGGAUGAGUGGCGAACGGGUGAGUAACACGUGAGUAACCUGCCCCCUUCUUCUGGAUAACCGCAUGAAAGUGUGGCUAAUACGGGAUAUUCUGGGUCUGUCGCAUGAUGGGUCUGGGAAAGAUUGCGCCUUUGGGUGUUUUUGGUGGGGGAUGGGCUCGCGGCCUAUCAGCUUGUUGGUGGGGUGAUGGCCUACCAAGGCGGUGACGGGUAGCCGGCCUGCGAGGGUGGACGGUCACACUGGGACUGAGACACGGCCCAGACUCCUACGGGAGGCAGCAGUGGGGAAUAUUGCACAAUGGGCGCAAGCCUGAUGCAGCGACGCCGCGUGAGGGAUGGAGGCCUUCGGGUUGUAAACCUCUUUCGCCAGUGAAGCAGGCCUGCUCCUUGUGGGUGGGUUGACGGUAGCUGGAUAAGAAGCGCCGGCUAACUACGUG